This 253-nucleotide ribosomal RNA is filed under the name uncultured bacterium. RNAcentral describes it as "partial 16S ribosomal RNA". It matches the Rfam family "Bacterial small subunit ribosomal RNA", at positions 524 to 776 of the family's 1533-position model. The record is from RNAcentral.
UACGGGGGGGGCAAGCGUUGUUCGGAAUUACUGGGCGUAAAGGGCUCGUAGGUGGCCAAUUAAGUCAGACGUGAAAUCCCCAGGCUUAACCUGGGAACUGCGUCUGAUACUGACUGGCUUGAAUUCGGGAGAGGGAUGCAGAAUUCCAGGUGUAGCGGUGAAAUGCGUAGAUAUCUGGAGGAAUACCGGUGGCGAAGGCGGCAUCCUGGACCGAGAUUGACACUGAUGAGCGAAAGCUAGGGGAGCAAACGGG